Molecule: ribosomal RNA, 432 nt
Filed under: uncultured bacterium
Lineage: Bacteria
Description: partial 16S ribosomal RNA
Rfam family: Bacterial small subunit ribosomal RNA
Source: RNAcentral
AACGAACGCUGGCGGCAUGCCUAACACAUGCAAGUCGAACGAGACCUUCGGGUCUAGUGGCGCACGGGUGCGUAACGCGUGGGAACCUGCCCUUAGGUUCGGAAUAACUCCCCGAAAGGGGUGCUAAUACCGGAUAAUGUCUUCGGACCAAAGAUUUAUCGCCUUUGGAUGGGCCCGCGUUGGAUUAGCUAGUUGGUAGGGUAAAAGCCUACCAAGGCGACGAUCCAUAGCUGGUCUGAGAGGAUGAUCAGCCACACUGGGACUGAGACACGGCCCAGACUCCUACGGGAGGCAGCAGUGGGGAAUAUUGGACAAUGGGCGAAAGCCUGAUCCAGCAAUGCCGCGUGAGUGAUGAAGGCCUUAGGGUUGUAAAGCUCUUUUACCCGGGAUGAUAAUGACAGUACCGGAGAAUAAGCUCCGGCUAACUCCGUG